This 497-nucleotide ribosomal RNA is filed under the name uncultured bacterium. RNAcentral's name for it is "partial 16S ribosomal RNA". It matches the Rfam family "Bacterial small subunit ribosomal RNA", at positions 28 to 507 of the family's 1533-position model. The record is from RNAcentral.
GAUGAACGCUGGCGGCGUGCCUAAUACAUGCAAGUCGAGCGAACAGACGAGGAGCUUGCUCCUCUGACGUUAGCGGCGGACGGGUGAGUAACACGUGGAUAACCUACCUAUAAGACUGGGAUAACUUCGGGAAACCGGAGCUAAUACCGGAUAAUAUAUUGAACCGCAUGGUUCAAUAGUGAAAGACGGUUUUGCUGCCACUUAUAGAUGGAUCCGCGCCGCAUUAGCUAGUUGGUAAGGUAACGGCUUACCAAGGCGACGAUGCGUAGCCGACCUGAGAGGGUGAUCGGCCACACUGGAACUGAGACACGGUCCAGACUCCUACGGGAGGCAGCAGUAGGGAAUCUUCCGCAGAGGGCGAAAGCCUGACGGAGCAACGCCGCGUGAGUGAUGAAGGUCUUCGGAUCGUAAAACUCUGUUAUUAGGGAAGAACAAAUGUGUAAGUAACUAUGCACGUCUUGACGGUACCUAAUCAGAAAGCCACGGCUAACUACGUG